RNAcentral lists this ribosomal RNA (455 nucleotides) under Micromoema xiphophora. RNAcentral describes it as "Micromoema xiphophorus partial 12S ribosomal RNA". It matches the Rfam family "Bacterial small subunit ribosomal RNA", at positions 875 to 1533 of the family's 1533-position model. The record is from RNAcentral. Lineage: Eukaryota; Metazoa; Chordata; Actinopteri; Cyprinodontiformes; Rivulidae.
GAAAACUAUAAGCGCAAGCUCAAAACUCAAAGGAUUUGGCGGCAUUUUAAAUCCUCCUAGAGGAGCCUGUCCUAUAAUCGACAAUACCCGCUAAACCUCACCUUCUUUAGCCUUCAGCCUAUAUACCGCCGUCGCCAGCUUACCCUCCAAGGGUAUCAAAGUAAGCAAGAUCGAUUUAAUCCAAAACGUCAGGUCAAGGUAUAGCUCACGAGAAGGGAAGAGAUGGGCUACAUUUCCUAUACAGGACUAACGGAAUGCCUGUUGAAAAACAGGUUAAAGUAGAAUUUAGCAGUAAGUAAAAAAUAGAGUGUUUUACUGAAGAUGAUCUUAUAUGCGCACAUACCGCCCGUCGCUCUCCCCUAAAUCAAUUAAAUCAUUAACUAAGCUACCACACAACCACGAGGGGGGAAAAGUCGUAACAUGGUAAGUGUACUGGAAAGUGCACUUGGUUAAAU